CCAUGCUCUUUGAUUUUCGGUAUCAAACUUUCCACAGAGCUCUGGUCUUUUCUUUGCAAAAAGUUGGAAAUCUUCUAUUUUGUUGAAUGCCCAUACUUUCCCUUGGAAGUAUAUAGUCAGUUUUGCUGGGUAGCUGAUUCUUGGUUGGAGACCCAGCUCUCUUGCCUUUCUGAAGAUCAUGGUCCAUGCCUUACGAUCAUUCAGAGUAGAACUUGCAAGGUCUUGUGUGACCCUGAUUGGUAUUCCUUUAUAUCUAAAUUGUCUUUUUCUGGCUUCCUGUAGGAUUUUUUCUUUUGUUUGAGAGCUUUGGAAUUUGGCAAUUACAUUCCUGGGAGUUGUCUUUUGGGGGUUUAGUGUAGAAGGUGUUCUGUGAGCUCUGUCAGUGGCUGUAUUGCCCCCUUGUUCUAGAUCUCUGGGCAAUUUUCUUUGAUUAUAUCUUGUAUCACGGUGUCGAGUUUGGUGUUUAUUUCUGGCUUCUCUGGAAGUCCAAUUAUUCUUAAAUUAUCUCUUCUCCCUCUAUUUUCCAGAUCUGUCACCUUGUCAGUGAGAUAUUUUAUGUUCUCUUCUAAUUUCUUGGUGUUUUGGCUUUGCUUUAUUAAUUCUUGCUCUUUUACAUGAUCGUUGUCUUCCAGCUGCCUGAUUCUGGCCUUUAAAGCCUGGUUGUCCUUUUAACUUUGGUCAAACUGGUUUUGUAGAUGCGUGAAUUUCUUUUGCAUUAUUUCCCACUUUUCCUCCCAGAAGGCUUCCAUCUUUUUGGUCAUUUCUGAUUCAAAUUCUUCAUGGGUUUGUGGAGAGUUUCCAUUUCCUUUGGAAGGUUUCGGAGCAUUUUCUUGUGUAUCGUCUUCUAUCUCCUCUGUAUUUUGUAUUUUGGCUCCAUAGAAUGUGUCCAAAGUCACCCCUUUCUUCUUAUUUUUCUUGGUAUUUUCUGAUUCAAAUUCUUCAUGGGUUUGUGGAGAGUUUCCAUUUCCUUUGGAAGGUUUCGGAGCAUUUUCUUGUGUAUCGUCUUCUAUCUCCUCUGUAUUUUGUAUUUUUGCUCCAUAGAAUGUGUCCAAAGUCACCCCUUUCUUCUUAUUUUUCUUGGGAUUUUGAGGCUUCUGUGCUUCUGUGGAGUUUGGCCAUCUCUGAAUGGGGAGGAUUAGCUUUUCUUAUCUCUAUCUGGUGUUCAGAGGUUUUAGUCCUGGGCAGAUUGUCCGUUCUAUGAGCUUUCCCUGGGUUGAACUGAGUAUGCCUUAAGACAGUGACUUUCACUGGAACUGGAAUGGAAGGAUCCGGCCAGGGGGUUACACUCUCCCCCGGCUCUCUCUGUUUCCCUGCUGUUUGGGUGCCCCCUCGACUGGGUCAGGUUGCUUUCUGGAAGUUGCCUUCAGAAUAGCUGGCCGUGAGGUUGUCUUGCCAGCCCUGAGGGUUACUGUUGUUUCAGACGACCCUGCUCUCUGAGGGGGGAGGGGCUGCAGCUUCCCAGAGCUCUGAGGGCAGUGACUUUCACUGGAACUCAGAUGGAAGGAUCUGGCCAUGGGGUUACAAUCUCAGGUCUAAGUUUCCCUCUGUAGCCUUGGACUCGGCGCUCCUACCCCUUAGGUCCGAGUGAUCUCGGGUUCUGGCUUUUGAGGGGGGCCGUACCUUUUGAUACAGGUCCAGGUCCAGGAGGAGGAUUCCCAAGGUCUAAGCUGUUGAUUGUUUUGAAUUUCGGCACCCUAGGAGCAUAUAGUUUGAGAUUG
Monodelphis domestica (gray short-tailed opossum) is the source of this 1718-nucleotide long non-coding RNA. Lineage: Eukaryota; Metazoa; Chordata; Mammalia; Didelphimorphia; Didelphidae. The record is from Ensembl.